GGCUCCGUGGCUUAAUGGUUACGGCUUCUGCCUCACAAGCAGAAAGUUCAGGGAUCAAAUCCCGGUUGGUAUCU
This is a non-coding RNA of Culex pipiens (northern house mosquito), 74 nucleotides long. NCBI's taxonomy places the organism in Eukaryota, Metazoa, Arthropoda, Insecta, Diptera, Culicidae. The record is from Rfam.